AAGUCGAACGGUAGCAGGAAGUGCUUGCACUUUGCUGACGAGUGGCGGACGGGUGAGUAAUACUUAGGAACAUGCCUUUGUGUGGGGGAUAACCAUUGGAAACGAUGGCUAAUACCGCAUAAUGUCUUUGGACCAAAGAGGGCUUUCGGGCUCUCGCGCAAAGAGUGGCCUAAGUGAGAUUAGCUUGUUGGUGAGGUAAAGGCUCACCAAGGCGACGAUCUCUAGCUGUUCUGAGAGGAAGAUCAGCCACACUGGGACUGAGACACGGCCCAGACUCCUACGGGAGGCAGCAGUGGGGAAUAUUGCACAAUGGGGGCAACCCUGAUGCAGCCAUGCCGCGUGUGUGAAGAAGGCCUUCGGGUUGUAAAGCACUUUCAGUUGUGAGGAAAGGUUGAUGGUUAAUACCCAUCAGCUGUGACGUUAGCAACAGAAGAAGCACCGGCUAACUCCGUGCCAGCAGCCGCGGUAAUACGGAGGGUGCGAGCGUUAAUCGGAAUUACUGGGCGUAAAGCGCACGCAGGCGGUUAUAUAAGCUAGAUGUGAAAGCCCCGGGCUCAACCUGGGAAUAGCAUUUAGAACUGUAUGACUAGAGUCUUGGAGAGGGGAGUGGAAUUCCAGGUGUAGCGG
Molecule: ribosomal RNA, 627 nt
Filed under: uncultured bacterium
Lineage: Bacteria
Description: bacterial SSU rRNA
Rfam family: Bacterial small subunit ribosomal RNA
Source: RNAcentral